UAUUGAGCAUAAAAACUUAAAAUAAUUUAUUUUGCUCGAUGUGUUGUAAGCGCAAAAGGUCCAUUUUAUUAACUUAGUUUAAACGAAGUAUACGUUACUGUCUAACCAUCAGUUGAGACCAGUUUCUUAUUUGUUACAUUACAGAAAUCGAUUUUCAGUAAACAUUGUUUUGAAUAUACAGUUUGGAAGAGAUUUUAAUCAGUUGUAAGAGCUUUGUCAUAGGCCGUUAACUGUGAGGCCUGUAACUUACUCCGCUUCUAGAACAUGCUCUUCACGUGUCGUUCACGUGGAAAUGAACCGCGUGAGAUAACUUAUGCGUUACGAUAGCUUCAUUAAGUCAUUUCUAUAUUCGAUUUUGUGAUUUAUUCAUGCAGUGGAAGUGUAAAUUCACCUUUUUUUUGUGUGUGAAAAGAGUGCUCAGCUGCUAAAACACUACCGAUUGAAAUAUGGAAGAAGUACUCCAAUUCCAUGUAUCUAUACCGAUUGUCUAUGUUCAAGUCAUUUAAUUCACUUAGAGUGCACUUAACGAAAAAUCAUUCACAUCAGGUAACGUACAUGGUAGCCAGACCAAUGCACUUAAGAAUACCCCUUUGAUAUUUCACUGCCUACUUCGCAGUUUUGAGGAGCCUCCUCCUCCAAGGAGUGAAAUCCAGGAGGAGGAGGAGGUGAUCCAGUCGGAACAUUUUCUAUGCAGAUUUAAAAUCGAAAUUCAACUUCAUUUACCACUUUUGAGUCGCAUAUCUGGCAAAAACCUGCAAACCGAAUUUUCAAGAACUGGACAGAUUCACUCAACGGUUCAUUCAUAUCUUCAAGGCCAAAGGGGGAGACAUUGGAUGUAAGCUUAAGAAGAUUCUGCAACAGAUUGAAAAUGAGAAAUCUGAAAUCAUUGGUAGGCGAACAGCCGUUCUUCAUGGCCUUCCACUUCUCCUUAGAGCAGACCCGACUGAUUUUUACAAGACAUGUUUUGACUGUGAUGACAAAGGAGAGAUGUCCGGAAUUUCAAUCGGAAUAUUGUUUGUGAUACUUGAGGACUCUGCAACCGUGCCUUACUGUUUGCAUCUGGAUGCCACAUUCACUGCAAUUAUUUUGGAAGGUAGAGUUGUAAUGGAUGAUCUGGGAAACCUUCCCAAAGCAAUGUGCCUGCUUUUUUGGCUCAUUUAUGCUCUGAAUGUAGAGUAAUCCUGCUGUACUGAAGAACAUGUUUGAUUUCUUUCAAAGUGUGAUUGUCACUUGGGGCAAGUCUCUCAAACCUGAAAAAUCGCCUGUUGCUGUAACAUUGUUGUGCCAUGAUUGACCAUUUUUCAGUUUGUUCAGAAUUGACCAUUGCGGAGAUAGAAAAUAGUAAUCAGGAAUGUAAUUUUAUAUUUUAGAAUAUAGUGUAGUCUUUAAAGAAACUUUUAAAAUAAAUAGGAAGGUUGUUCAGUACUAAAAAAACAGAAGAAUCUUUUGUUUCCUGUAGGAAAACGUGCAAUUUGCUUAACAGGGUUAAGUGGUUUGUUUUAGAAAAGGUGCUAAUUUUAGAAAAAAAUGCUGUAUUUCAUCACUGUGAGAAAAGGUAAAAAUGUCAAAAAAGGUAGCAUUGAUUGUAUGUAAUUGCUGUAUGUGAAAAAAUGCAGUGUGCUGUGUUGAUUUGAAGGCAUGACAUUGUUUUAUGGAACAAAUAAAUGUCCCAGUGUUGUGUCAAAGA
Molecule: RNA transcript, 1687 nt
Organism: Carassius gibelio (silver crucian carp)
Lineage: Eukaryota; Metazoa; Chordata; Actinopteri; Cypriniformes; Cyprinidae
Exons: 4
Source: RefSeq, a predicted model, not a curated record